Molecule: long non-coding RNA, 341 nt
Filed under: Nicotiana tabacum (common tobacco)
Lineage: Eukaryota; Viridiplantae; Streptophyta; Magnoliopsida; Solanales; Solanaceae
Description: long non-coding RNA (NTAB_LNC014913)
Source: RNAcentral
UUGGUGCUUUUCCUGUCUUUGUGUGACAACAACGUACAAACCUUGCAAUUAGUAAAGAAAAUGAUUAGUUACCUCCUAUAGCAAAGGUUGAUACAUUAUUUAUUUUAAAUAAAUAUCAUUUUAAAAAAUUAUAUUCCAUAACUACCUUUUAAUUUUUAUAGCCAAAUAUCUAUUUAUGGUUACCGCUACCCUUAAGCCAUAAAAUACGCCGCCCUCUCUCUCAUAAAAUAGUUGCCUCUCUUUCUACCAUUCCCUUCUCGGAACCAAACAGAAAAUCCAUGCUUCCGGUCGGCGACGCAACAGCUCCCGCCGGCGAAGGCGCAUGAAUCGGGCCGGAAUUC